Molecule: ribosomal RNA, 491 nt
Filed under: uncultured bacterium
Lineage: Bacteria
Description: partial 16S ribosomal RNA
Rfam family: Bacterial small subunit ribosomal RNA
Source: RNAcentral
GAUGAACGCUCGCUACAGGCUUAACACAUGCAAGUCGAGGGGAAACGAUGAGAGAGCUUGCUCUCUUAGUCGUCGACCGGCGCACGGGUGAGUAACGCGUAUCCAACCUGCCUCUGACCAAGGGAUAACCCGUCGAAAGUCGGACUAAUACCUUAUGCAGUCGUCGGAAGUCAUCUGAUGACGACGAAAGAUUUCAUCGGUGAGAGAUGGGGAUGCGUCUGAUUAGCUUGUUGGCGGGGUAACGGCCCACCAAGGCGACGAUCAGUAGGGGUUCUGAGAGGAAGGUCCCCCACAUGGGAACUGAGACACGGUCCAAACUCCUACGGGAGGCAGCAGUGAGGAAUAUUGGUCAAUGGGCGUAAGCCUGAACCAGCCAAGUAGCGUGCAGGAUGACGGCCCUAUGGGUUGUAAACUGCUUUUAUGCGGGGAUAAAGUGAGGGACGUGUCCUUCAUUGCAGGUACCGCAUGAAUAAGGACCGGCUAAUUCCGUG